This 231-nucleotide unclassified non-coding RNA is filed under the name Hevea brasiliensis (rubber tree). The record is from RNAcentral. Lineage: Eukaryota; Viridiplantae; Streptophyta; Magnoliopsida; Malpighiales; Euphorbiaceae.
CCCUAUUCUCCCUUUUAUACACCCCAUGCAUUUCAUUUUAAUAUUCCUUUCUUUUCCUUUCAAAAUUACAAUUCCAUGGGCUAUCUGUGAUGAUCCAAAAUUCGAAUUGUCCUCUUAACACAAAAUGAAAUAUCAGAUUUCAAAACAAAGUUCAUCCAUUGUACAUAGGAAGAUAUGUACAUUCAUUUAUACUAAUUAAGUUCUUAUUCCCAAUAUGAAAAUUGACUAGAG